UACUGAGUGGCGAACGGGUGAGUAACACGUGGGUGAUCUGCCCUGCACUUCGGGAUAAGCCUGGGAAACUGGGUCUAAUACCGGAUAGGAGCCAUUUUUAGUGUGAUGGUUGGAAAGUUUUUUGGUGUAGGAUGAGCUCGCGGCCUAUCAGCUUGUUGGUGGGGUAAUGGCCUACCAAGGCGGCGACGGGUAGCCGGCCUGAGAGGGUGGACGGCCACAUUGGGACUGAGAUACGGCCCAG
This 241-nucleotide ribosomal RNA is filed under the name uncultured Actinomycetales bacterium. RNAcentral's name for it is "partial 16S ribosomal RNA". It matches the Rfam family "Bacterial small subunit ribosomal RNA", at positions 89 to 334 of the family's 1533-position model. The record is from RNAcentral. Lineage: Bacteria; Bacillati; Actinomycetota; Actinomycetes; Actinomycetales.